RNAcentral lists this ribosomal RNA (752 nucleotides) under uncultured bacterium. RNAcentral's name for it is "bacterial SSU rRNA". It matches the Rfam family "Bacterial small subunit ribosomal RNA", at positions 139 to 902 of the family's 1533-position model. The record is from RNAcentral.
UGGGAUAACCCCGGGAAACCGGGGCUAAUACCGGAUACUCCGGCCGUACCGCAUGACGCGGCCGGGAAAGCUCCGACGGUCUGGGAUGGGCCCGCGGCCUAUCAGCUUGUUGGUGAGGUAACGGCUCACCAAGGCGACGACGGGUAGCUGGUCUGAGAGGACGACCAGCCACACUGGAACUGAGAUACGGUCCAGACUCCUACGGGAGGCAGCAGUGGGGAAUCUUGCGCAAUGGGCGAAAGCCUGACGCAGCGACGCCGCGUGGGGGAUGAAGGCCUUCGGGUUGUAAACCCCUUUCGGCAGGGACGAAGCUAACGUGACGGUACCUGCAGAAGAAGUCCCGGCUAACUACGUGCCAGCAGCCGCGGUAAGACGUAGGGGACGAGCGUUGUCCGGAUUUAUUGGGCGUAAAGCGCGCGUAGGCGGCUCGGACAGUCGGAUGUGAAAAUCCGGGGCUCAACCCCGGACCUGCAUCCGAUACUUCCGGGCUAGAGGUAGGUAGGGGAGAUCGGAAUUCCUGGUGUAGCGGUGAAAUGCGCAGAUAUCAGGAGGAACACCGGUGGCGAAGGCGGAUCUCUGGGCCUUACCUGACGCUGAGGCGCGAAAGCUAGGGGAGCGAACAGGAUUAGAUACCCUGGUAGUCCUAGCCGUAAACGUUGGGUGCUAGGUGUGGGGGGACAUCGACCCCUUCCGUGCCGAAGCUAACGCAUUAAGCACCCCGCCUGGGGAGUACGGCCGCAAGGCUAAAACUC